Molecule: ribosomal RNA, 448 nt
Filed under: uncultured bacterium
Lineage: Bacteria
Description: bacterial SSU rRNA
Rfam family: Bacterial small subunit ribosomal RNA
Source: RNAcentral
AACGAACGCUGGCGGCAGGCCUAACACAUGCAAGUCGAACGCCCUAGCAAUAGGGAGUGGCAGACGGGUGAGUAACGCGUGGGAACGUACCCUUCGGUUCGGAAUAACCCAGGGAAACUUGGACUAAUACCGGAUACGUGCGAGAGCAGAAAGAUUUAUCGCCGAAGGAUCGGCCCGCGUCCGAUUAGCUAGUUGGUGAGGUAAUGGCUCACCAAGGCGACGAUCGGUAGCUGGUCNGAGAGGAUGAUCAGCCACACUGGGACUGAGACACGGCCAGACUCCUACGGGAGGCAGCAGUGGGGAAUAUUGGACAAUGGGCGCAAGCCUGAUCCAGCCAUGCCGCGUGGGUGAUGAAGGCCCUAGGGUUGUAAAGCCCUUUCGGCGGGAAGAUAAUGACGGUACCCGCAGAAGAAGCCCCGGCUAACUUCGUGCCAGCCGCCGCGGUAAC